This 493-nucleotide ribosomal RNA is filed under the name uncultured bacterium. RNAcentral describes it as "bacterial SSU rRNA". It matches the Rfam family "Bacterial small subunit ribosomal RNA", at positions 26 to 507 of the family's 1533-position model. The record is from RNAcentral.
AGGAUGAACGCUAGCGGCAGGCUUAACACAUGCAAGUCGAGGGGCAGCAUGAGGGUUAGACAAUUAACCUUUGAUGGCGACCGGCGCAAGGGUGCGUAACGCGUGAGCAACUUGCCCGUUUCGUGGGGAAUAACCGGUGGAAACGCCGACUAAUACCCCAUAGCAUUGAUUUCAGGCAUCUGUUAUCAAUUAAAGAAUUUCGGAAACGGAUAGGCUCGCGUGACAUUAGCUAGAUGGCGGGGUAACGGCCCACCAUGGCGACGAUGUCUAGGGGUUCUGAGAGGAAGGUCCCCCACACUGGAACUGAGACACGGUCCAGACUCCUACGGGAGGCAGCAGUGAGGAAUAUUGGUCAAUGGUCUGACGACUGAACCAGCCAUGCCGCGUGAAGGUGACGGCCCUAUGGGUCUUAAACUUCUUUUGUAAGGGAGCAAUAAGGUCUACGUGUAGAUUGAUGAGAGUACCUUACGAAUAAGCAUCGGCUAACUCCGUG